This 251-nucleotide ribosomal RNA is filed under the name uncultured bacterium. RNAcentral's name for it is "partial 16S ribosomal RNA". It matches the Rfam family "Bacterial small subunit ribosomal RNA", at positions 57 to 305 of the family's 1533-position model. The record is from RNAcentral.
GCAAGUCGAGGGGUAACAUUGGUGCUUGCACCAGAUGACGACCGGCGCACGGGUGCGUAACGCGUAUAGAACCUACCUUUUACAGGGGAAUAGCCUUUAGAAAUGAAGAUUAAUGCCCCAUAGUAUUACGACUCGGCAUCGAGAUGUAAUUAAAGAUUUAUCGGUAAAAGAUGGCUAUGCGUCCUAUUAGUUAGUUGGUAAGGUAACGGCUUACCAUGGCUACGAUAGAUAGGGGUCCUGAGAGGGAGAUC